CCAGUUUGUAAAAUAUGGUGGUGUAAAGAAAACAUUUUGAUUCUUGGCUCCCUAAGAUUAAAUGGGAGAGCUCAGUCGAAUACCUGAUUGCAAAGGGUUCUUUUUAAUUUUACAAAUGACUGCUUGUUGACUUUAUUUAAAAAUUAAUCAGCUGUCUUGUCUGAACAUUGUUUCUAUGAAGUCUUUGACACAUACUCUUGCUCAAUUUGUUUUGAUGACACAUUUAACCACUUGAUUUCUCAGCACUUCCUUUGCAUAUACAUUUAUAGCAGAUGAUAAAGUUUCAGUCUGUUUCUUACUUUCUAAUGGUCACCAUGUUCCAUCUGAAGCAAGCGGCUCUACUCUUCAUACAGCUGUUAAAUGUGCACAAUGUCUUUGAAGCUUCAGCGACUGAGACAACAGCCAAUUUCAGUGUGUUGGUGUCCAGCGGUGACCCAGUCACAUUCAAUUGCAACAUAACUGAGAAUGGCAUAAUGCUAAUCAACUGGACCAGUGUCCAAUUUAAUUUUUCAUAUUUCAGCUCGCCUAAUCUGACAACAUUAAAUUUCCCAUCUGAAAGAGUGAAACUAGACUCUAAUAUACCUUCCAAGCUCACCAUCAGUAGAGCACAACAUGAUGAUGAAGGACUUUACACAUGUACUAUAACAGGUGGAGAAGGUGUUCACAAAAUCACAUGGAGUUUAACUGUAUCUGAGAAAAGAGGUUCUCGGUUUUCAAAGUAUAUUUUUUUCAUUCUAUCACCAGCCAUUGGACUGCUUCUAUGUUGCAUCAUGUUAGUUGUCUGCCUCUGCAUCAGAAGACAUUGCAACAGAGAAGAAAAUCAGAAACCGGUCCAAAACCAGUAUCAGCUUCAAUCAGAAGGACAGGAUGUCCGCACUCAACCACAAGCUUGUACAGAUCAGUGGAGGAGCAAACGGCAGAGGAGAGAGUACAUGGAGAGGCUGAAUUCAAUUUAUGGUAAAUUCUGAGCUGAGUUGCCUUUUAUUCACUUUAAGAAAGAGAACCAGUUUGGAAGAUAUUAGUUGUUGAUUUUGUAUUAAAGUAGGUGCUUUAAAAUAUCAAUAAAAUGGAUUCACUAAUCAACAACGUAACUGUUUAAUCUGCAAAAGCUUUGUAUUACUGACAUGUCUUGCUGAUUGUUUUCAAUUAAAAUAUGUCAUUUAAAAGCAUCAGUUCAAUCAUUUACUCAUGUUGAUUUGGAUUGAUUUUACUGGGUAACUGCAGUGUAGUGUAACUUAUGCCCAGUGGAGGGCAGGCGGUGUCAUGCUGAAUGUCAUAAUGCUUUGAGUCUACAGUCAAUCAAGUCUUUACACAUCCUCUCAUCGGCAAACACGUAUUUCCGCCGGUUGCCUCGCAUUAAGUUAUGCGUCACGAACAUUGCAGCAAGCGUAAUCAGCAUUGCUUUUUGAAAAGUGGAGCCAGGCUUUCGCUUUUUUAUCAGCCAUGCUUGUUUUGUUGACUGUUUCAGCAGUUACUCAUGUCAUUAUGCUCUUGCGCAUGCAAUGCUGUGUUCAGGUCAAGCAUGGAAAAUUGGCCACUCUUCCACUCCAUCAGUGUCAUAAUGAUGCGUAUAGGUCCUCACUAAGACUAAGAAAGUAGAGCACAUCACACAUGUUUUAAAGUUCUUACACUGGUUUCCUGUAUCUCAGAGAAAAUACUUUUAAAACAUUUCUGUUAGUCUAUUAAUCACUUGGCACCUAAAUACAUUACAGACUUGUGUUCAGUGUAUCAGACCACUAAGGUCUUCUGGCUCAAGACAACUCUGUAUACCCAGAGAAAGUAUAGAGAAACUUCAUUUAGUUCCUAUGCUCCACUUAUCUGGAACAAGCUGCCAGAAGAUUGGAAGAGUGCUGAAACCCUGAGUUCCUUUAAAUCAAUUUGUUUAGAGUUGCUUUUGAAUGUCAGUUUUCUACUCUAACUGUUGUAUUUCACUGAAACCUCAAUUAGAUUAAGUUUUUAGUUCAACUUUUCUUGACCUGAUGCUACUAUGUUCUUUCACGCUGUAUGUUUUAUUUUAUGUUCAGUUCAUGUACAACACUUUGUAUUUCUUGUUACUGAAAUGUGCAUUAAAAAUAAACUUGCCUUGCUUAGACAUGUAUGCCAUCUGCAAUCUGGUUGGUUAAAUUGUUCCGAGGAAGAGCAAGUGUGAGCUGAUGUCACAUUUGUUAAAAUCCCCCGAUUAAAAACACUGGCUGCUCUCCACUUUGAUUGUAAGCUCUGUUGUACAGUAGGUGUCAGAGAUGGGACACUAGUUCAUAGCGGUUACAGACCUGUCUCUCUUGUGGUAUAGUACAAGAAAUUACAUUUUACAGAUGGUAUGAAUGUUUUCUUGUAAACGGACUGCCUGAAGAAGAAUCACA
Fundulus heteroclitus (mummichog) is the source of this 2360-nucleotide RNA transcript. RefSeq lists it as uncharacterized. NCBI's taxonomy places the organism in Eukaryota, Metazoa, Chordata, Actinopteri, Cyprinodontiformes, Fundulidae. The record is from RefSeq and is a predicted model, not a curated record. The transcript has 5 exons.